RNAcentral lists this ribosomal RNA (523 nucleotides) under uncultured bacterium. RNAcentral describes it as "bacterial SSU rRNA". It matches the Rfam family "Bacterial small subunit ribosomal RNA", at positions 777 to 1297 of the family's 1533-position model. The record is from RNAcentral.
AAUAGAUACCCUGGUAGUCCACGCCGUAAACGUUGGGCGCUAGAUGUGGGGACCAUUCCACGGUUUCCGUGUCGCAGCUAACGCAUUAAGCGCCCCGCCUGGGGAGUACGGCCGCAAGGCUAAAACUCAAAGGAAUUGACGGGGGCCCGCACAAGCGGCGGAGCAUGCGGAUUAAUUCGAUGCAACGCGAAGAACCUUACCAAGGCUUGACAUAUACGAGAACGCUGCAGAAAUGCAGAACUCUUUGGACACUCGUAUACAGGUGGUGCAUGGUUGUCGUCAGCUCGUGUCGUGAGAUGUUGGGUUAAGUCCCGCAACGAGCGCAACCCUCGUUCUAUGUUGCCAGCACGUAAUGGUGGGAACUCAUAGGAGACUGCCGGGGUCAACUCGGAGGAAGGUGGGGAUGACGUCAAAUCAUCAUGCCCCUUAUGUCUUGGGCUUCACGCAUGCUACAAUGGCCGGUACAAAGGGCUGCAAUACCGCAAGGUGGAGCGAAUCCCGAAAAAGCCGGUCUCAGUUCGGA